This 71-nucleotide transfer RNA is filed under the name Agrilus planipennis (emerald ash borer). It matches the Rfam family "tRNA". From Rfam's summary of the family: Transfer RNA (tRNA) molecules are approximately 80 nucleotides in length. Their secondary structure includes four short double-helical elements and three loops (D, anti-codon, and T loops). The record is from Rfam by way of RNAcentral. Lineage: Eukaryota; Metazoa; Arthropoda; Insecta; Coleoptera; Buprestidae.
CCUCUUGUAGUUCAGUAGUCAGAGCGAUGGUGCGCAAAGCCAAAGGUUCCGGGUUCGAUUCCCGGCGAGGA